GCCAAAGUGGCGGAACUGGUAGACGCGCACGACUCAAAAUCGUGUUUCUUCGGAAGUGUGGGUUCGAGUCCCACCUUUGGUA
This 82-nucleotide transfer RNA is filed under the name Balneola sp. RNAcentral describes it as "tRNA-Leu". It matches the Rfam family "tRNA". From Rfam's summary of the family: Transfer RNA (tRNA) molecules are approximately 80 nucleotides in length. Their secondary structure includes four short double-helical elements and three loops (D, anti-codon, and T loops). Lineage: Bacteria; Pseudomonadati; Balneolota; Balneolia; Balneolales; Balneolaceae. RNAcentral also lists the same sequence under 1 other name. The record is from RNAcentral.